GUAUUGUGUGAAAGGAGAAAAGAUUAACUGUCUUCUUCAUAAAGAUGGAAGAGGUCCUAAUGACCUUUACAAUACAUAUAACUAAAGUACUUCCACUGACUCAGUGGCAUCCUAUCACAUUUGGGUUUUUUGU
Trichosurus vulpecula (common brushtail) is the source of this 133-nucleotide small nuclear RNA. Lineage: Eukaryota; Metazoa; Chordata; Mammalia; Diprotodontia; Phalangeridae. The record is from RefSeq and is a predicted model, not a curated record.